RNAcentral lists this ribosomal RNA (406 nucleotides) under uncultured bacterium. RNAcentral describes it as "partial 16S ribosomal RNA". It matches the Rfam family "Bacterial small subunit ribosomal RNA", at positions 30 to 526 of the family's 1533-position model. The record is from RNAcentral.
AUUGAACGCUGGCGGCAGGCCUAACACAUGCAAGUAGAACGAGUGGCGGACGGGUGGGUAAUGUCUGGGAAACUGCCUGAUGGAGGGGGAUAACUACUGGAAACGGUAGCUAAUACCGCAAACCAUCAGAUGUGCCCAAAUGGGAUGUGCUUGUUGGUGGGGUAACGGCUCACAAAGGCGAAGAUCCCUAGCUGGUCUGAGAUGAUGACCAGCCACACUGGAACUGAGACACGGUCCAGAAUCCUACGGGAGGCAGCAGUGGGGAAUAGUGCACAAUGGGCGCAAGCCUGAGGCAGCCAUGCCGCGUGUAUGAAGAAGGCCUUCGGGUUGUAAAGUACUUGCAGCGGGGAGGCGUUACCCGCAGAAGAAGCACCGGCUAACUCCGUGCCAGCAGCCGCGGUAAUAC